AUUGAACGCUGGCGGCAGGCCUAACACAUGCAAGUCGAGCGGAUGAAGGGAGCUUGCUCCUGGAUUCAGCGGCGGACGGGUGAGUAAUGCCUAGGAAUCUGCCUGGUAGUGGGGGAUAACGUCCGGAAACGGGCGCUAAUACCGCAUACGUCCUGAGGGAGAAAGUGGGGGAUCUUCGGACCUCACGCUAUCAGAUGAGCCUAGGUCGGAUUAGCUAGUUGGUGGGGUAAAGGCCUACCAAGGCGACGAUCCGUAACUGGUCUGAGAGGAUGAUCAGUCACACUGGAACUGAGACACGGUCCAGACUCCUACGGGAGGCAGCAGUGGGGAAUAUUGGACAAUGGGCGAAAGCCUGAUCCAGCCAUGCCGCGUGUGUGAAGAAGGUCUUCGGAUUGUAAAGCACUUUAAGUUGGGAGGAAGGGCAGUAAGUUAAUACCUUGCUGUUUUGACGUUACCAGCAGAAUAAGCACCGGCUAACUACGUG
RNAcentral lists this ribosomal RNA (484 nucleotides) under uncultured bacterium. RNAcentral's name for it is "partial 16S ribosomal RNA". It matches the Rfam family "Bacterial small subunit ribosomal RNA", at positions 30 to 507 of the family's 1533-position model. The record is from RNAcentral.